This 69-nucleotide transfer RNA is filed under the name Ictidomys tridecemlineatus (thirteen-lined ground squirrel). RNAcentral's name for it is "Spermophilus tridecemlineatus (thirteen-lined ground squirrel) tRNA". It matches the Rfam family "tRNA". From Rfam's summary of the family: Transfer RNA (tRNA) molecules are approximately 80 nucleotides in length. The record is from Rfam by way of RNAcentral. Lineage: Eukaryota; Metazoa; Chordata; Mammalia; Rodentia; Sciuridae.
UGGGAUGUAGCUCAGUGGCAAAGCGUCUGCCUUGCAUUCACAAAGCCUGGGUUCAACCCCCAGUUCCAA